Molecule: ribosomal RNA, 492 nt
Filed under: uncultured bacterium
Lineage: Bacteria
Description: partial 16S ribosomal RNA
Rfam family: Bacterial small subunit ribosomal RNA
Source: RNAcentral
AUUGAACGCUGGCGGCAUGCUUUACACAUGCAAGUCGAACGGUAACAGGCCUUCGGGUGCUGACGAGUGGUGGCCGGGGGCGUAAUGCUUCGGCAUGUGUCCCGUGGUGGUGGAUAAGGCAGCGAAUGCUGUGCUAAUACCGCAUGUGGUCUGAGGAUGAAAGCGGGGGAGUAGGCUGCAAUGUUUGGCCUCGCGUCUCUCGAGUGGCUGAUGUCGCAUUAGGUAGUUGGUUGGGUAAAGGCCUACCAAGCCAACGAUCGGUAGCCGGUCUGAGAGGACGACCAGCCACACUGGAACUGAGACACGGCCCAGACUCCUACGGGAGGCAGCAGUGGGGAAUUUUGCACAAUGGGCGCAAGCCUGAUCCAGCAAUGCCGCGUGCGGGAAGAAGGCCUUCGGGUUGUAAACCGCUUUUGUACGGAACGAAAAAACUCGGGCUAAUACCUGGGGCUCUUGACGGUACCGUAAGAAAAAGCACCGGCUAACUACGUG